This 84-nucleotide transfer RNA is filed under the name Lentisphaeria bacterium. RNAcentral's name for it is "tRNA-Leu". It matches the Rfam family "tRNA". Rfam says of the family: Transfer RNA (tRNA) molecules are approximately 80 nucleotides in length. Their secondary structure includes four short double-helical elements and three loops (D, anti-codon, and T loops). The record is from RNAcentral. RNAcentral also lists the same sequence under 1 other name. Lineage: Bacteria; Pseudomonadati; Lentisphaerota; Lentisphaeria.
GCACGAGUGGCGGAAUGGCAGACGCGCUGGAUUUAGGUUCCAGUUCCGUAAGGAGUGCAGGUUCAAGUCCUGUCUCGUGCACCA